This 253-nucleotide ribosomal RNA is filed under the name uncultured bacterium. Its description in RNAcentral is "partial 16S ribosomal RNA". It matches the Rfam family "Bacterial small subunit ribosomal RNA", at positions 524 to 776 of the family's 1533-position model. The record is from RNAcentral.
UACGUAGGUGGCGCGCGUUGUCCGGAUUUACUGGGCGUAAAGAGCCCGCAGGCGGCUUGAAAAGUUUUAGGUGAAAUCUCCCGGCUUAACUGGGAGGGUGCCUAGAAAACUAUCAGGCUUGAGGCAGGGAGAGGGAUGUGGAAUUCCCGGUGUAGUGGUGAAAUGCGUAGAUAUCGGGAGGAACGCCAGUGGCGAAGGCGGCAUCCUGGCCCGGUCCUGACGCUCAGGGGCGAAAGCGUGGGGAGCAAACCGG